GGGUUCUGGUCUAAAGGGAGUCUCCCAGUUGGGGUUCUGGUCUAAAGGGAGCCUCCCAGUUGGGGUUCUGGUCUAAAGGGAGCCUCCCAGUUGGGGUUCUGGUCUAAAGGGAGCCUCCCAGUUGGGGUUCUGGUCUAAAGGGAGCCUCCCAGUUGGGGUUCUGGUCUAAAGGGAGCCUCCCAGGGGUUCUGGUCUAAAGGGAGCCUCCCAGUUGGGGUUCUGGUCUAAAGGGAGCCUCCCAGUUGGGGUUCUGGUCUAAAGGGAGCCUCCCAGUUGGGGUUCUGGUCUAAAGGGAGCCUCCCAGGGGGGGUUCCCAGUUGGUUUCCAGGUUAAAGCCAUCGGCUCGUUGGCUUCCUCACAAGCCGACGGCUGGUAGAACAAUUUGCACUUGGGGUGGGGGAGUAGUAAUAAUAAUAAUGAACCUAAAGUUAUUUUUAUAGAAGCCAAGUUGAGCUUGAUCACGGAACCAAAGAGGCCGAGCGGUUGAGCCGGAGCAGAGGCCUAAACACUGUAUCAGUCGUGUAGAGCGAAGCGUCCUGGACCGCUGUAACAUCUGGAAACGCUUUAUGAAAUAUUCUGUUCUUUGUAAUUGUUGAAAAAUAAAUUUCUUAUUACCGAA
Pseudoliparis swirei is the source of this 619-nucleotide long non-coding RNA. RefSeq lists it as uncharacterized. The transcript has 2 exons. The record is from RefSeq and is a predicted model, not a curated record. NCBI's taxonomy places the organism in Eukaryota, Metazoa, Chordata, Actinopteri, Perciformes, Liparidae.